GAUGAACGCUGGCGGCGUGCCUAAUACAUGCAAGUCGAGCGAACGGACGAGAAGCUUGCUUCUCUGAUGUUAGCGGCGGACGGGUGAGUAACACGUGGAUAACCUACCUAUAAGACUGGGAUAACUUCGGGAAACCGGAGCUAAUACCGGAUAAUAUUUUGAACCGCAUGGUUCAAAAGUGAAAGACGGUCUUGCUGUCACUUAUAGAUGGAUCCGCGCUGCAUUAGCUAGUUGGUAAGGUAACGGCUUACCAAGGCAACGAUGCAUAGCCGACCUGAGAGGGUGGUCGGCCACACUGGAACGUGGACCGGGUCCAGACUCCUAAGGGAGGCAGCAGUAGGGAAUCUUCCGCAAUGGGCGAAAGCCUGACGGAGCAACGCCGCGUGAGUGAUGAAGGUCUUCGGAUCGGAAAACUCUGUUAUUAGGGAAGAACAUAUGUGUAAGUAACUGUGCACAUCUUGACGGUACCUAAUCAGAAAGCCACGGCUAACUACGUG
This 497-nucleotide ribosomal RNA is filed under the name uncultured bacterium. Its description in RNAcentral is "partial 16S ribosomal RNA". It matches the Rfam family "Bacterial small subunit ribosomal RNA", at positions 28 to 507 of the family's 1533-position model. The record is from RNAcentral.